Camellia sinensis is the source of this 430-nucleotide long non-coding RNA. RefSeq lists it as uncharacterized. Lineage: Eukaryota; Viridiplantae; Streptophyta; Magnoliopsida; Ericales; Theaceae. The record is from RefSeq and is a predicted model, not a curated record.
AAAAACUAAUGGCUGAGAUUAGACACCGAUCCAUCCAAAGGUCUAUAAAUCUAGGGUUCUUUCUUCUCAACCCUACAUCCUUUGGAGUCUUCAUCUAGGGUUUUUACGAGUUCGCUGUGAAAAGCUCUCUCAUUCUCCAACACACAAACACACACAAAAUGGUUCUUCCAAAUAAUAUCGAUUUGUUGAAUCCACUAGCAGAGCUCGAGAAGAGGAAGCACAAGCUAAAGCGUCUGGUCCAGUCCCCUAAUUCCUUCUUCAUGGAUGUCAAAUGCCAAGGCUGUUUCAACAUAAACUGCCAUACCAUCUUGUGCCAGCUAAUAGGAGGCCAUACGAGGCUCGUCGAGGGAUGUUCUUUCAGGAGAAAGGGUGAUUGAGUGUUCCGAGGGAUGCUCUUUUAGGAGAAAGGGUGACUGAGUGUGCUUCUCUA